RNAcentral lists this unclassified non-coding RNA (400 nucleotides) under uncultured fungus. Its description in RNAcentral is "sequence contains ITS1". The stretch from base 1 to 101 matches the Rfam family "5.8S ribosomal RNA", at positions 50 to 154 of the family's 154-position model. Lineage: Eukaryota; Fungi. The record is from RNAcentral.
AAAAUGCGAUAAGUGACAUGAAUUGCAGAAUCCUGUGAAUCGUCGAGAUUUCGAACGCACUGCGCCCGGGGGAAACUCCGGGCACGUCUGACCGAGUGACGUCAAUAUCACUUGCAUACCCCCCCAACAUACGUACAGGUGCGGUUGGUGGGGCAGCAGACUUUGUGGGUUUGUGCUUGGGCACUCCCAUCCAAGUUAUCACUGUGCACCUCUCUUGGGCAACGUUAUGGGGUUUCUGCCGCGAAUAUUACGUUUUUUGUGUUCCUGGCGGGAUUCAUACGCAUAAUCUUGUCUAUUUUCGCCUUGUGGAGGGCUUUAGAUGUGGUCUUUUUUACAAACUGCGCUUUUUACAAAAAAAGCACCCUUUAACCGUCCUCGGAUCAGGCGGGAUUACCCGCUG